Molecule: RNA transcript, 1166 nt
Organism: Cebus imitator (Panamanian white-faced capuchin)
Lineage: Eukaryota; Metazoa; Chordata; Mammalia; Primates; Cebidae
Gene name: nitric oxide synthase-interacting protein-like
Exons: 2
Source: RefSeq, a predicted model, not a curated record
AUGGUAGUGCUGCCGGAAGCUGAUCCGCACUGUCGUCCGCCCAGCCGGGCAAUGUUUGCGCUGCCAGACGCAGAGGAGUCGUGGCUAGCGAUUGUGGUCAUAAAGUCGAAUGAUAUAGGUCAAGAAAAUUCAGACAUUUACAAAAGCUUGCUAAAGGAAAUAAUAUUUAUUUUGGCUUCCAAGAAAAAUAACAGACAGUUGAAGAAGCAAUCAAGGAACGGAGAGUCGUUCGUGGGGACGACACGGCAUGGGAAGAACUGCAGUGCGGGGCUGUCUACACCUACUGAGAAGAGGAAGGGCACAGCGGCCUCAGGCUGUGGGACCCAGAACAUUGGACUGAGCCGAGAUGCUGUGACGGAUUCCACUGCUGUUGCCUCUCCCUGCAGCCCUGCCACGAUCCUGUUGUCACCCCAGAUGGCUACCGGUAUGAGCGUGAGGCCCUCCUGGAGGACAUUCCGCAUCCGCAGAAGGAGAUCGCCCGGCAGAUGAAGGCCUGUGAGAAGCAGUGGGGUGCCCAGCGGGAGCAGCAGAAGGAGCUCCAGGGGCGGCCUCUCAGGAUCACGUGCGGGGCUUCCUGGAGGAGGAGUCGGCCAUCGUGAGCCGCCCCUCAACCCUUUCACAGCCAAGGCCCUCUCGGCCACCAGCCCAGGUGAUGCCCAAGCCGGGCCCAGCGUGGGUCCCCCAAGUAAGGACAAGGACAAAGUGCUACCCAGCGUCUGGAUCCCGUUGCCGACACCCGAAGCCAAGGCCACCAAGCUGGAGAAGCCGUCCCGCACGGUGACCUGCCCCACGUGGGGGAAGUCCCUGCGCAUGUCGGACCUGAAGCCCGUGCACUUCGCGCCGCUCGACAGCUCGGGGGACCGCGUGGGGCUCAUCACACGCAGCGAGCGCUAGGUGGCGCUGUGACCCGCGACAGCCUGAGCAACGCCACCCGCCGUGCUGUGCUGCGGCCCUCUGGCUGUGGUCACCCUUGAAGGCGUGAAGCCGAUUCGGAAGGACAUGGUGGAUCGUGUGAGUGGAGACGAACUCACGGACCGCGGCAUCGUCGUGCUGCAGCGGAGCGGUACCGGCUUCGCGGGCUCCGGAGUGAAGCUGCAGAGAAAUCGCGGCCGGUGAUGCAGGCCUGAGUGUGCGCGGGAGACCAAAUAAACCAGCUUGCGUGCGCA